Molecule: ribosomal RNA, 497 nt
Filed under: uncultured bacterium
Lineage: Bacteria
Description: partial 16S ribosomal RNA
Rfam family: Bacterial small subunit ribosomal RNA
Source: RNAcentral
GAUGAACGCUGGCGGCGUGCCUAAUACAUGCAAGUCGAGCGAACGGACGAGAAGCUUGCUUUUCUGAUGUUAGCGGCGGACGGGUGAGUAACACGUGGAUAACCUACCUAUAAGACUGGGAUAACUUCGGGAAACCGGAGCUAAUACCGGAUAAUAUUUUGAACCGCAUGGUUCAAAAGUGAAAGACGGUCUUGCUGUCACUUAUAGAUGGAUCCGCGCUGCAUUAGCUAGUUGUUAAGGUAACGGCUUACCAAGGCAACGAUGCAUAGCCGACCUGUGAGGGUGAUCGGCGACACUGGAACGGAGACACGGUCCAGACUCCUACGGGAGGCAGCAGUAGGGAACCUGCCGCAAUGGGCGAAAGCAUGACGGAGCGACGCCGCGUGAGUGAUGAAGGUCUUCGGAUCGUAAAACUCUGUUAUUAGGGAAGAACAUAUGUGUAAGUAACUGUGCACAUCUUGACGGUACCUAAUCAGAAAGCAACGGCUAACUACGUG